GGGUCAGUAGGUUGUUCGUGCCACCGGUACGUACUGGUCUCACUGAUUCCUCCUUCCUGAAGAACCGUAACGCCAUUAAUUUGGUGUUGCGGGGAAACAGGACUGUUACUUUGAAAAAAUUAGAGUGUUUAAAGCAAGCUAACGCUUGAAUACAUUAGCAUGGAAUAAUGAAAUAGGACGAUCGAUCCUAUUUUGUUGGCUUCUAGGAUUGACGUA
RNAcentral lists this ribosomal RNA (216 nucleotides) under Glomeromycotina sp. RNAcentral describes it as "partial small subunit ribosomal RNA". The stretch from base 75 to 216 matches the Rfam family "Eukaryotic small subunit ribosomal RNA", at positions 721 to 864 of the family's 1831-position model. Lineage: Eukaryota; Fungi; Glomeromycota. The record is from RNAcentral.